This 443-nucleotide ribosomal RNA is filed under the name uncultured bacterium. RNAcentral's name for it is "partial 16S ribosomal RNA". It matches the Rfam family "Bacterial small subunit ribosomal RNA", at positions 338 to 795 of the family's 1533-position model. The record is from RNAcentral.
CCUACGGGCGGCAGCAGUGGGGAAUAUUGGGCAAUGGGCGCAAGCCUGACCCAGCAAUGCCGCGUGAAGGAAGAAGGCUUUCGGGUUGUAAACUUCUUUUCUGAGGGACGAAGAAAGUGACGGUACCUCAGGAAUAAGCCACGGCUAACUAUGUGCCAGCACCCGCGGUAAUACGUAGGUGGCAAGCGUUAUCCGGAUUUAUUGGGUGUAAAGGGCGUGUAGGCGGGAGAGCAAGUCAGAUGUGAAAACUCAGGGCUCAACCCUGGGCCUGCCUUUGAAACUGUUUUUCUUGAGUGCUGGUGAGGCAAUCGGAAUGCCGGGUGUAGCGGUGAAAUGCGUAGAUAUAAGGAGGAACACCGGUGGCGAAGGCGGAUUGCUGGACAGUAACUGACGCUGAGGCGCGAAAGCGUGGGGAGCAAACAGGAUUAGAUACCCGAGUAGUC